CCAGCUCGUCCUCCGGGAUGGUGGGGACGACUGUUGGGACCGCCUCUGCUAAGAGGAGGAAGGAAUGGGCACGGUAGGUCAGCAUGCCCCGAAUUAUCUGGGCUACACGCGGGCUACAAUGGGUGGGACAAUGGGUAUCGACACCGAAAGGUGAAGGCAAUCUCCUAAACCCAUCCGUAGUUCGGAUUGUGGGCUGCAACUCGCCCACAUGAAGCUGGAAUCUGUAGUAAUCGUGUCUCAAAAUGGCACGGUGAAUAUGUCCCUGCUCCUU
This 271-nucleotide ribosomal RNA is filed under the name uncultured Methanomicrobiales archaeon. RNAcentral's name for it is "partial 16S ribosomal RNA". It matches the Rfam family "Archaeal small subunit ribosomal RNA", at positions 1067 to 1338 of the family's 1478-position model. The record is from RNAcentral. Lineage: Archaea; Methanobacteriati; Methanobacteriota; Methanomicrobia; Methanomicrobiales.